UUUGCCACUAAUCAUUAAAAAUUGUAUACUUUAUAGAUCCAGUAGACAAUGUGAUGAAGAACUUGCAAGAACCAUCUGAAGUUAAAACAGAAAAGAAGGAGCCAGAAUAGGUAGUUUAAAGUUUCAAUUACAAAAUCUAAAACGUCUUGGACACCUCAGUGAGCAUUGAAACCAACGCUUCUGUGGCGGAUGUCAUUCAGAACUUCAGAAGUGUCAGUUUUGAAGUCUCCAUCGAUGCAACUUUUUGAUAAUGAUUCAGGAAUGAAGGAGACGUUUAAGAUAUGAAUAUGAGAAUAGAUGGGUUUUCUGGUUAAAAUU
Molecule: long non-coding RNA, 318 nt
Organism: Nilaparvata lugens (brown planthopper)
Lineage: Eukaryota; Metazoa; Arthropoda; Insecta; Hemiptera; Delphacidae
Exons: 2
Source: RefSeq, a predicted model, not a curated record